GACGAACGCGGCGGCGUGCUUAACACAUGCAAGUCGAACGAAGAGCGAUGGAAGCUUGCUUCCAUCAAUCUUAGUGGCGAACGGGUGAGUAACGCGUAAUCAACCUGCCCUUCAGAGGGGGACAACAGUUGGAAACGACUGCUAAUACCGCAUACGAUCUAACCUUGGCAUCGAGGAUGGAUGAAAGGUGGCCUCUAUUUAUAAGCUAUCACUGAAGGAGGGGAUUGCGUCUGAUUAGCUAGUUGGAGGGGUAACGGCCCACCAAGGCGAUGAUCAGUAGCCGGUCUGAGAGGAUGAACGGCCACAUUGGGACUGAGACACGGCCCAGACUCCUACGGGAGGCAGCAGUGGGGAAUCUUCCGCAAUGGACGAAAGUCUGACGGAGCAACGCCGCGUGAGUGAUGACGGCCUUCGGGUUGUAAAGCUCUGUUAAUCGGGACGAAAGGCCUUCCUGCGAAUAG
This 461-nucleotide ribosomal RNA is filed under the name Veillonella dispar. RNAcentral's name for it is "bacterial SSU rRNA". It matches the Rfam family "Bacterial small subunit ribosomal RNA", at positions 28 to 466 of the family's 1533-position model. The record is from RNAcentral. Lineage: Bacteria; Bacillati; Bacillota; Negativicutes; Veillonellales; Veillonellaceae.